AUUGAACGCUGGCGGCAGGCCUAACACAUGCAAGUCGAGCGGAUGAAGGGAGCUUGCUCCUGGAUUCAGCGGCGGACGGGUGAGUAAUGCCUAGGAAUCUGCCUGGUAGUGGGGGAUAACGUCCGGAAACGGGCGCUAAUACCGCAUACGUCCUGAGGGAGAAAGUGGGGGAUCUUCGGACCUCACGCUAUCAGAUGAGCCUAGGUCGGAUUAGCUAGUUGGUGGGGUAAAGGCCUACCAAGGCGACGAUCCGUAACUGGUCUGAGAGGAUGAUCAGUCACACUGGAACUGAGACACGGUCCAGACUCCUACGGUAGGCAGCAGUGGGGAAUAUUGGACAAUGUGCGAAAGCCUGAUCCAGCCAUGCCGCGUGUGUGAAGAAGGUCUUCGGAUUGUAAAGCACUUUAAGUUGGGAGGAAGGGCAGUAAGUUAAUACCUUGCUGUUUUGACGUUACCAACAGAAUAAGCACCGGCUAACUUCGUG
Molecule: ribosomal RNA, 484 nt
Filed under: uncultured bacterium
Lineage: Bacteria
Description: partial 16S ribosomal RNA
Rfam family: Bacterial small subunit ribosomal RNA
Source: RNAcentral